AGGAGAACCUCCGAGCGCAGGAGUGCAAAGGCUGGCAUUCUUCAGGCUCUGAGGCUGUCCCUUCCGGUGGAGGUGAACUGCUUCUUAUUGAUGUGGACAAGACUGUGGAUGGAGACUGACAGGAUCCUGGCUUGGGGGCCUUCCGGCAGGGCUGGCUGCUGGGCUGGCAGGCUCUGGCGCUCCCCUUCCCCAGAACUGACUUUGUUCCUGGCAGCCAUGGUGGCUGCACUAACCACAUUCUGCCUCCACCUUUGCACUAAGAAAAGCAAAUAAGCAGACCACAGAACUGUUUGCAUUUGCCCCAGAUGCUCCCUGGCUGCGGGAAGAGAUAAAGUUUGCUGACCCCUAGAGAGGAAGUCAUGGCCCAUGGCUGGCAGAUGGAAGCCUCAGGACCUGAAGAUUUCUCAAAGAAAGGGACCUGCUGCUGACAGCAAUUAAUAUAUGUUCACAGCUUGCAGCUGAAGCCUGAUGAUGGCUGUAGGAGAAAGGACAUCACCCAGAUGACAUUUUGCCUCCAAAGCUCUGGGGACCAAUUGUGGAAGAACUGCAGGGAUAUUAUGUUAGAAUGUUCUUGUGUCUGGAUAGGAUGAGAACUGUCUUAUAACAAAGUGCAGCCCCCAUGUCUGAGGGCAUGUUUCCUGUGUUUAGGCACUUCCGAAGCAGGGAGCACCUUCAAGGGGCACUGGCCUUCCCAGAAACAGUGUUUGACCUGUGAUGAUGUCCUGGGGGAGGGGACCUAGGAAAAGACCUUAGCCUUUCCAUAAGGCACGAUUAUUCUCCUCUAUAGAGCCUCAAAAGUCAAGUCAAGUAGCAAGCACACUGUGCUCCAGUCUGUGGCCACAGACACACACAAGGACUGGAGCAAAACCAAACAUAGUGUAUCAUCACCGCUGAACCCCCAGGAGCCCCCAGAUGCUUUUGAACGUGAAAGGAGAAAGAAGCUGUCAGAGAUCAGGUUGAAUGUGGUGGGUUAGGUGUGCGGCAUUGCCUCUGGGUCCCUGCUUUGGUUUAAUUAAACUAAGUCUGGUGGUGAAUUGGUUCCCAAAUGUUCAUUGGUGGAUGGGCGGCAUCAGAAUUGUCUACAUCUUUUAAAAAACACGUACGCAAAACCUAUGCAUGUCUUCCUCUGAGAGUUUGAUUUUCAGCAGGCUUGGGGUGGAUUCCUACUUUUAAGAACUCCCCACGCCCGUCCUAAGUGAUUGUGAUUCCCAGUAAGUGAAUGCUGACAAAUUGAACCUUCCAGCAUGGACAUUUAUUUAUGAAAUAAAUGGACAUUAAUUUCACAGUCUUUCUAUGGAUUCGAGGUGGUGCUGGAUCCACAGGCUCACCUGGCCCCCUAGCUUUCUCUGCAGAAUCUGCCAGUGUGCCUUCAAUCCCAAAAGAAGUCGCUUUUCAUGUGCUGCUGGAGCUUUUGAUUGGCGGUGACUGAGAUGGGACUUUAAGUUCUCACCAGGAUGCAAAGUGGGGUUCCAACUUUACUGCUUUCUGAACCCUGCUGAUCUGUCCCCAACCAAGGCUUGAUUUUCUUCUGAAGCGCAGUAUUUUUAAACUGUGGUUGAAAUCUAUUCAUGGGCUAUAAAAUCAGUUGUUGAGGAUGUAACCAUUUUGAAUUAAUUUUUAAUUCAAAAAAUUAGACUAGAAAUUUUUAAUUUUAAUUCAAAAAAUAGACUAGAAAAAAAUCAGAGUGCAUCAUGUAUGGUAGGGAUAAGUGUAAUUCUUUCUGUAAAACUUGUUUUGGAGGGUAUGUUGUGCAUUGGGCUUCUGUGUAUUUCUUACUACGUUUCACAGGGAAACUGCUGUCAUCUCUGCAGUACAAUAUAGAUCAACAAUGGCCCUAACUUCCCUAAGACAGCUCUCAUGUCUGCUUGCAGAGAACAGAUGGAAAAAGUCACCAGGGAGGGUAGAUUGCCAUAUACAAGUACUUCAGGGAGGCUACCUGGAAACUAAUAGAAAACCAGUUUAUGGAUGAUUGCAGAGCCUGGGGAGAGAAAUCAAUCUUGGACAGUUUUAUGGAUGGCAGCCAACAGCCUACCAUGCUCAGCCCAUCGCACCUGUCACCUGGGGACAAGCAGGGUCUAUCUGGAACGGACUCUGGCCAGGAUUCAGUUUCUCUUUCCUCGAAAUGGGGAUAAUCACCCUCUUGACUAUUGCUGUUAUGGGAAAGGCCAAAUUAGGGGAAAAAAAUUCUGUCCAAUAAGGGAUGAACCACAAAGCUCAGGCCAGUAAUGGCCUCUAUUGGUGGUUUGGGAGGUAUGCUUGUAUGGGCAUUAAGGGAGAAAGAGAAGGUCUGCACUCUAAUCAAGUCUAGGCAAUGUGGGAGUUGGAAAGAGACACAUGGGAACACAGACCCAGUCACCUGAAGGCAAGAGCCUUUCUUUUUCCUCCUCUUGGCAGGCAGCGUGGGCUCCCGGGCCCCAAGCAGGAUCCCUUAGGGCUGAUCUCUUACCACACACUGGUCUGACUUGGUGACCUGGAAGAGGACAGUCAGAGCCAACAGGAUGAGGGGACCAGCUUGGAGAGCAUCUAUUGUAUGCCACCCUUGAGUGGCUGGAAAUGUCUUCUGCCACUUUGCAAGGGGCUGGGGGCUGGGGAGUGGGAGUGGCAAGGGAACACGGGGUGGUAGAUUGUUCCCAGGGCUGCUGGUUUUGGAGCAGUCUGACUACCCUCUCUUCUUAGUGGGAAAGAAAGGAGGAAGAAGGGGGAAGGGAUGCUUUUGGAGGGGAGCUCUAAGGGUGGGAGAAAAGAAAGCCUGAAAGAACAUCACUAAAGGGUCUGAAGUUAAAGACUCCAAUGAACAAGAAGCCCCUAAUUCAAACAGUGCCACUAACACCAAAACCUGUAAAGUGGUCCAGAGAGACCCUGGUCAUGUCUGUAACUUUCCUUUUUAAAGCUCUCGUGAAGUUAAUGAAUGAAAAAAUUGCUAAUGCAAAGAUGGAAAUUAAUAAAAACAAAAGCGUGCUUCAUAUUGCAGGGUGACCACCUCUAAUCCUACCAGUGAUCCUGUGGCUGUCCCUGUAACUUCCUUUGGCAACACCAUGCUUUGAGAAGCUGUGGGGAAGGCUGGCCAGGGAGAGAGCCUCACCCCCCAAUUCUG
RNAcentral lists this long non-coding RNA (3094 nucleotides) under Homo sapiens (human). Its description in RNAcentral is "non-protein coding TUSC8:16". The record is from RNAcentral. Lineage: Eukaryota; Metazoa; Chordata; Mammalia; Primates; Hominidae.